RNAcentral lists this non-coding RNA (30 nucleotides) under Homo sapiens (human). The record is from RNAcentral. Lineage: Eukaryota; Metazoa; Chordata; Mammalia; Primates; Hominidae.
AAGGGCCUUGUGCAAAGGAUUAAUCCAAGA